CAUGCAACCUGUGCCCCACGGACCCCUGAGACAGAUAGCUGGGCGUUCUGAACUUCCCCAAGGCUCCUUGCGUGGAGCACACACUCACCUGUGUGGUGGCCCGGCCGGGGGAGGGACAAGACAGAGAGUAGCUGCCUACCCAGAGGCCAAGCAAAGAUGCCACCAAGAUGUCCCCCAUAUAAUGCAAACAGGUACUGACUAUCCUUGUGCACUGGAACAGAGAAAAACGCACAACAGAGAUCUAUUACAGUAAACCAUUCUGCCUCUGGGUGAACUGAUGACCGAAUGGCAACUGGGUUGGGUACCACAGGAUAAACUGGGACUACCACAUAAUUUACAGUUCUCAGGUCCUGAACCAGGCGCCGCUCAUCUCUCCCAGGUUUCGUAACAGGAAAAAUGGGAUAUCGAGGUAACCUGUGGAGUUUCUUCUUGGGAUCAACAUUAUUUACCACUGGGCUGGAACUGCAUAUCAGUCCCCUGUCAUUGGAAUGCUCUGUCCAUAAGGUUUCUGGCACCUGAGACAGAAUAGACUGGGAGGCAGUGUCAGACCCCCACCUUUCCUACUUACACAUUGGUUCAAUACCUCAUCAUUUGGGAUGUCAACAAGAACUCCAUCAGGGGUACAAUCAAUUGUAGCAUUACGUUUAGUUAACAAGUCUCUACCUAGCAAGUUAAACAGUUGAGUGGGUGAAUACAGAAAAUCAUGUUCAACAUUCAUUGGUCCUAUUGAACAGGGCAUGGGUUUGUUUCAAAAUGGAUUACCAGGGUUUGAGGAAAUCCCAUAAGUGUUUAUAGUUUUAUUGGUUAGGGGUAGGUCAAAUCCAGUUCCUUUACCAAAAGUGGAUC
Long non-coding RNA from Coregonus clupeaformis (lake whitefish), 846 nucleotides. RefSeq lists it as uncharacterized. The record is from RefSeq and is a predicted model, not a curated record. NCBI's taxonomy places the organism in Eukaryota, Metazoa, Chordata, Actinopteri, Salmoniformes, Salmonidae. The transcript has 3 exons.